This 275-nucleotide signal recognition particle RNA is filed under the name Microcebus murinus (gray mouse lemur). RNAcentral describes it as "Metazoan signal recognition particle RNA (ENSMICG00000033697.2)". It matches the Rfam family "Metazoan signal recognition particle RNA". Rfam says of the family: The signal recognition particle (SRP) is a universally conserved ribonucleoprotein. It is involved in the co-translational targeting of proteins to membranes. The eukaryotic SRP consists of a 300-nucleotide 7S RNA and six proteins: SRPs 72, 68, 54, 19, 14, and 9. Lineage: Eukaryota; Metazoa; Chordata; Mammalia; Primates; Cheirogaleidae. The record is from RNAcentral.
UCUGGGCACGGUGGCACACACCUGUAGUCCCAGCCACUUAGGAGACUGAGGCAGGAAAAUCACUUGAGCACUAUGCCAGUCAGGUAUCCACACUAAGUUCAGCGUCGAUAUGGUGACCUCCCAGAAGCAGGGGAACCACUAGAUUGCCUAAGGAGGGUGAACCAGCCCAAGUCAGAAAUGCAGCAGGUCAAAACUCCUGUGCUGAUCAGCAGUGUGAUUGCAUCUGUGAAUAGCCACCACACACGAGACUAGGCAAUUUAGUGAGACCCUCAUCU